Transfer RNA from Termitomyces sp. J132, 111 nucleotides. It matches the Rfam family "tRNA". Rfam says of the family: Transfer RNA (tRNA) molecules are approximately 80 nucleotides in length. Their secondary structure includes four short double-helical elements and three loops (D, anti-codon, and T loops). NCBI's taxonomy places the organism in Eukaryota, Fungi, Basidiomycota, Agaricomycetes, Agaricales, Lyophyllaceae. The record is from Rfam.
GCCAAUGUGGCUCAAUGGAUAGAGCAUCGCUUUCCUAUUAUGUGGCUGCUUAGAUCUUUGAUCUCAGAGGCUAUAAGGCGAAGGUUGUGGGUUCGAGUCCCAUCAUUGGUU